AUACUUUCUAUGUAUCUUGGUAUCCACAUAACCUGUAAUAAGUUUUUGUUCGGUGCAGAAACAACCAUGGAAAACAUUAUAUGGAGAAUAUCUCAUUUUGCAUACGAGUAUUUCGCUGAAAAAGAAAAUUCUGUGAAAUCAACAUUUUGGGCUACAUAGUCGUUGUUAAAGUCAACUCUGUUAAUAUAAAACAGCAUAGAUAUAAUCUAAGUACACCAAGUUCUCAAGCAAAAAAUAUAGGUUAUGUUUCCCAGAAAUCAAAUAUAUUUACAAGAGAAAACUUACGAAAAUUUUUAACAGAGGCCCGUGAUUAAUGUACCUAAUGUCAAAGGUAUAUUUUUUAUUCGAAGUUGUAGGAGUAUGCGGAAAGGAAGAAUUUGAACAAUUUUCUUGUAUCUACAUAACCUAUAAUAAGCUUUUAUUAUUAUUACAGAACAGAUUAUUAGCUUACAUGCCCAUUUUAAAUGAAAGUAUGAAGCAUACCUCUUAUUUUUCGGCACUUUUAAUAUUUUUGCUUGCAGAAAGAUCUGCAGCAAUUGCAAAAUAGAGAUGGAUAGCAAUAAUAACAAGCAGUUUACAUGCAUUCGACCGAACUUGCAAAAACUGGCAGAUAAUAUAUCAAAUUUAUUACCUAAAAACUCAGCCACAGUUUAUGAAAAGCGGUAUGAAUUUUUUUUUUUUUUGCGCAGAAACAACCAUGCAAAAUAUAUGGAGAACACCUCAUUGCAUACGAGUAUUUCGCUGAAAAAGCAAAUUCUGUGAAAUCUUUAACACUUUGGGCUGCAUAGUCGUAGUUAAAGUCAACUCUGUUAAUAAAAAACAGCAUAGAUAUAUCUAAGUACACCAAGUUUUCAAGCAAAAAAUAUAGGUUACAUUGCCAAGAAAUCAAAUAUAUUUACAAGAGAAGACUUACCAAAAUUUUUAACAGAAGCCCGUGAUUAAAUGUACAUGAUGUUAAAGGUUUAUUUUUUAUUAGAAGUUGUAGGAGCAUGUGGAAUGGAUAAAUUGAAAAAUAAUGACGGCAUUCAAGACAAAAACGAUACGCUAAUAAUUAAAAUUCCAACGUCUAAAACUGGCAAAGCACGAGAAUUUACAAAUAUGUGUAAAAAUAUUUAUCCAAUUGAAAUAUAGUAAAAAUACCUAAUUUUAAGACCGCACCAUACACCAGACAAAUCAUUAUUUAUACAUUACAUUUGGAUAGUGAAUGCAGCAGCUGCUGCAUUGUACAAAUAUACCUGCAAACACACUGUAACAAAUUAUGCAGACACCUCUUUUGACUAAAAGAUAUAUAUUUAACUUUAUCCAUACGUUGUCAACUUUGUUAAUAAUUGCAAUCUCUAACUUCAUAAGAAAUAUGAAUAAUCUACUUUGGUGUUUUAUAGUAGUAUUAAAUGUUCAUAGAAUAUAAUUGCACUUACUACGAAGUAAGCUUUCCUAGUUUUAAGUUGUUUUCUUUUCUCUUUGAUUAUCUUAAUUUCUUCAGCCUCUAUGUGGCUGUUUUAAUUCCAAAAAAUUGUUUCUGAAUAAACUGAUUCAUACCA
Long non-coding RNA from Zophobas morio, 1541 nucleotides. RefSeq lists it as uncharacterized. The transcript has 3 exons. The record is from RefSeq and is a predicted model, not a curated record. NCBI's taxonomy places the organism in Eukaryota, Metazoa, Arthropoda, Insecta, Coleoptera, Tenebrionidae.